UGGGAAUGGGGACUGCAGGGCCUUCCCUUGGUUUGUAUCCAAGGCUGCCCCUUUCGGCGUUGUAGCCUGGGGCUGUGUUUUUCUUCUUCUUCUUCUCAUACUUCCUGUAUGAGGUUAGUUUUUUUAAAAUGAUAAACAAACUAUUUUUUUAAACCUUUUUUUUUGACCUGGUCAUGUGUUGCCAGCUACCUAUCCUGCUGUGAGCCUUCAGCCGUCAGCCCCCUACCUGUGCACCACCGGGCGUGAGCGGGGUUCCAAAGCAGAGGGGGUCUGUGCUCCCCUCUGCUCAGAGUGGCAGUCAGAAUGUGGCGGAACAUCACGAUCAGGAUGCUGGACUGGAGGUUGAGUGCUAUCAGGUACCAGCUGGUGGCUGAACUUCCCCUGCCUCCCAGAAUAACUGGGAGAUGAAACAGGAAACUUUAUGACACACUUGCUUGAAAAUGACACAGGACUCAGCCCCUCUGCAACACCUCUACCUGCUGCCCACAGCCGAGUGCGGGGGAAGGGCUGGCCCUGGGACCUGAUUCCAACCGCCGUGGACUCGCCGUCCAGUGUGAUGUGUCUGCCACAUUGCGGUCACGGUCUAGUCUGGUCGGUUUCCUAUGUAGCUGGCCACUCUUGGUGUAUCUUUGCCCCUUUUCCCUCAUUAAAAGCAUAACUAGAGAAAAAUGGAUUGUUUGCUUAUU
Long non-coding RNA from Capra hircus (goat), 686 nucleotides. RefSeq lists it as uncharacterized. The transcript has 3 exons. The record is from RefSeq and is a predicted model, not a curated record. Lineage: Eukaryota; Metazoa; Chordata; Mammalia; Artiodactyla; Bovidae.